This 314-nucleotide small RNA is filed under the name Pongo abelii (Sumatran orangutan). Its description in RNAcentral is "processed transcript". The record is from RNAcentral. Lineage: Eukaryota; Metazoa; Chordata; Mammalia; Primates; Hominidae.
GUAAGGCAGUGGAUGAGGUUAAGGGUUCCUGGGGUGGUUUAUUUGGGACACUGAUUACUAACAGUAAAAUGUCUACAAAUAUUUGAAUGUAGAUAGAACAUGGUGAGACUGGGCAUGAUUCAGAAAAGCUGGAAGAUCUAGAGAGGGAUCUUGCAAUCUGAAGUUUGUUUAGUCACUGGAGGAUUUGAACGUCUAUGACACUCUUCCGAGCUGACACAGUGAAGAACAUGGAAGGAGAACUCACCCAGUCUGCCAGGGUCACAGAUGAUCAUACUCAAGAUCUUCCUGGGGAGUCAACGGCAAAUUUCACUGGG